Molecule: long non-coding RNA, 2059 nt
Organism: Ostrinia nubilalis (European corn borer)
Lineage: Eukaryota; Metazoa; Arthropoda; Insecta; Lepidoptera; Crambidae
Exons: 2
Source: RefSeq, a predicted model, not a curated record
GACACCCACAGCGCCAUCUACGCAACUCAUCAUGAGAACUGGCGGCCAUAUACCUUCUCCCUGCUACAAUUUCUUCGCUCAACGUCUUAACGCUCGAGACCAACAACCAAUCAGGAACGUUCCUCGUCCGCGAUCAAUUUUGCGCACCAAUCCGCGGGUGCUAGCAUUGUAUAAUUUAAAACAAACGAAAAUUUACUAUUACUAUUGUCACUCUUCAUUUCUAUCCACGGGAUUACACACCAAUUCUGAAAAUCAAGGAGUUUCUUUUCAAAAAUCCUGCAGUGCCAAGGCUAUUCUGGUACAUUUGGUCCUUCUCAGCCGAAUACAACAAGCGAGCGACCUAUCCGAGCUGCAUAUUCACCGGAAAACGCAAGAUAUCACAAUAUCAACCGGCGAAGCUAUCUUCAAGUCACGUCUACGUAUUGGACACCAGGACUUCAGGAGAUGCAAAAUCGGUACGGCCAGCCAUCCGCAAUAUCCAAAAACCCUUGGUUUUCACUUGUGUAAUACUGUGCAUUUGCUAAUUUCAGUACUUACCUACCUACGUACGCGCAUCAAGUGUGUCGAGUGUUCAACAGCAGAGUGUCGUUGCUAAUACCUGCUGCUUUCGCAGAUCACUACGAACACUAAAACUUGCUGCUGUUCCGCCGCGAGCACGCGCAACUGCUGCACGCGGCUCCGCAGGCGCUGCUGUUCGCGCUGCGCGAGCGCUGGUGGCCGGUAAGGGGGCGUGAUCUCGCAAAAAAGGCAAUACGUCAAUGUAUUAUUUGUACACGCUUAAGAGGUAAAACCGUAAACCCGAUUAUGGGACACUUACCUAUGGAGCGAAUCACGCCAACUUACCCGUUCAUGCGAUGCGGGGUAGACUAUGCAGGCCCGGUGCUCGUACUGAAUCGCAAAGGCAGAGGUGCUAAAACUGUAAAGUCGUACAUUUGUUUGUUUAUUUGUUUCGUUACACGCGCGAUACAUUUGGAACUUGUCAGCGAUCUGACAUCUGACGCAUAUUUUCUAGCCCUGAAACGAUUUAUCUCGCGUCGUGGCAAACCGGAAGUAAUCUUUUCAGACAACGGUAGGAAUUUUGUAGGUUUGAUGAAUGAAUUUAAGAAAUUUUUAACGAAUUGCUCAUCCAAUAUUAUCGAGUAUGCUAGCAGCCAACAGAUUAAAUUUAAAUUCAUACCUCCAUACUCUCCUCAUUUUGGUGGUCUGUGGGAAGCAGGAGUAAAAUCUUGCAAAUAUCACCUUAACCGUGUAUUAGGCAACGCGCACCUAAAUUUCGAAGAGCUAUGCACAUUAUUAACGCAGGUGGAAGCUGUCCUUAACUCCCGUCCACUGAGUCCCCUAUCCACAGAUCCGCACGAUCUUCAGCCUCUCUCUCCGGCUCACUUCCUGGUUGGUCGUCCGCUCGUUGCACCUGUAAGCGCCGACAUGCAAGAUACGCCGAUGCAUCGACUUACUAGAUAUCAACGUGUUGAACAACUGCGCCAGCAUUUUUGGUCACGUUGGACCAAAGAGUACAUCUCGGAGAUGCAGACGAGGAUCAAGUGGAAGGAGAACACGAUCGACUUGCGACCAGACACGCUGGUGAUUGUCAAGGAUGACAACUUACCUCCACUGAAAUGGCAACUGGGACGCGUUAAGAACACGAUCCAUGGAAAAGAUGGCAUCGUGAGAGUUGCUGACAUCCAAACAACAUCCGGAGUCAUCAGGCGCGCUGUAACCAAGAUCUGUCCUUUACUAUGGGAUCAGCCAGAGAUGGAUCCUGCUAGUCUUUCGUAAGCUGGUGCUUCCAAGGCCGGGGGCAUGUUUGGACACCCACAGCGCCAUCUACGCAACUCAUCAUGAGAACUGGCGGCCAUAUACCUUCUCCCUGCUACAAUUUCUUCGCUCAACGUCUUAACGCUCGAGACCAACAACCAAUCAGGAACGUUCCUCGUCCGCGAUCAAUUUUGCGCACCAAUCCGCGGGUGCUAGCAUUGUAUAAUUUAAAACAAACGAAAAUUUACUAUUACUAUUGUCACUCUUCAUUUCUAUCCACGGGAUUACACACCAAUUCUGAAAA